UACGGGGGGGCAAGCGUUGUUCGGAAUUACUGGGCGUAAAGGGCUCGUAGGUGGCCAACUCAGUCAGACGUGAAAUCCCUCGGCUUAACCGGGGAACUGCGUCUGAUACUGGAUGGCUUGAGAUUGGGAGAGGGAUGCGGAAUUCCAGGUGUAGCGGUGAAAUGCGUAGAUAUCUGGAGGAACACCGGUGGCGAAGGCGGCAUCCUGGACCAACACUGACACUGAGGAGCGAAAGCCAGGGGAGCAAACGGG
Molecule: ribosomal RNA, 252 nt
Filed under: uncultured bacterium
Lineage: Bacteria
Description: partial 16S ribosomal RNA
Rfam family: Bacterial small subunit ribosomal RNA
Source: RNAcentral